AUUGAACGCUGGCGGCAGGCCUAACACAUGCAAGUCGAACGAGUGGCGGACGGGUGAGUAAUGUCUGGGAAACUGCCCGCUGGAGGGGGAUAAUUACUGGAAACGGUUGCUAAUACCGCAUACAAUCGGAUGUGACCAGAUGGGAUUAGCUAGUAGGUUGGGUAACGGCUCACCUGGGCGACGUACCCUAGCUGGUCUGAGAGGAGGACCAGCGACCCUGGAACUGGGACACGGACAAGACUCCUACGGUAGGCAGCAGUGGGGAAUAUGACGCAGUGGGCGCAAGCCUGAUGCAGCCAUGCCUCGUGUAUGAAGAAGGCCUUCGGGUUGUGAAGUACUUUCAGCGAGGGGGCGUUACUCGCAGAAGAAGCACCGGCUAACUCCGUGCCAGCCGCCGCGGUAAUUC
RNAcentral lists this ribosomal RNA (406 nucleotides) under uncultured bacterium. RNAcentral's name for it is "partial 16S ribosomal RNA". It matches the Rfam family "Bacterial small subunit ribosomal RNA", at positions 30 to 526 of the family's 1533-position model. The record is from RNAcentral.